Non-coding RNA from Vicia faba (fava bean), 333 nucleotides. The record is from the annotation of a GenBank genome assembly. NCBI's taxonomy places the organism in Eukaryota, Viridiplantae, Streptophyta, Magnoliopsida, Fabales, Fabaceae.
CGACGUCUUCCGUCCACGGUAGAAAAACCCUGUGUCGCGCAGCGAGUCUCGCAAAGGGGCAAACUUGAAUCAAGUCAUAACUCCUUCACCAGGAGCAACGACUUAGGGGGCUCCUGUUCUGGACUGGACCUACCCUUUACCCAACUACCAGUGAGGCCCAAUCCAAGUUUGCCAACCUGCUGCGCUGAGCAGUAUUUCCCCCGAGCACAUCCCGACCACAGAUGUCUUGUCGACCAAGACUGCUUCUCGUCGGUGCUCGCAGAGACCAUCUCCAACAAGCACACGCUCCUUCCGAGCACAUUCCACGUAGAGUUGACUUCCAACCUCUCCUAA